This 428-nucleotide ribosomal RNA is filed under the name uncultured prokaryote. RNAcentral describes it as "bacterial SSU rRNA". It matches the Rfam family "Bacterial small subunit ribosomal RNA", at positions 355 to 774 of the family's 1533-position model. The record is from RNAcentral.
UGAGGAAUAUUGCGCAAUGGAGGCAACUCUGACGCAGCAACGCCGCGUGGGUGAAGAAGGCCCUCGGGUUGUAAAGCCCUGUCAGGUGGGAAGAACCCUCUGUAGUUGAAUAGACUACAGAACUGACGGUACCACCAAAGGAAGCACCGGCUAACUCCGUGCCAGCAGCCGCGGUAAGACGGAGGGUGCAAGCGUUGUUCGGACUCACUGGGCGUAAAGCGCGUGUAGGCGGCCUGACAAGUCGAAUGUGAAAGCCCGGGGCUCAACUUCGGAAGCGCAUUCGAAACUGUUAGGCUUGAGUACGGGAGAGGGAAGUGGAAUUCCUGGUGUAGAGGUGAAAUUCGUAGAUAUCAGGAGGAACACCGGUGGCGAAGGCGGCUUCCUGGACCGAUACUGACGCUGAGACGCGAAAGCGUGGGGAGCAAACA